This 389-nucleotide ribosomal RNA is filed under the name uncultured Hepatozoon. RNAcentral's name for it is "partial 18S ribosomal RNA". It matches the Rfam family "Eukaryotic small subunit ribosomal RNA", at positions 515 to 899 of the family's 1831-position model. The record is from RNAcentral. Lineage: Eukaryota; Apicomplexa; Hepatozoidae.
UGAUAGAAAUUUAAAUACUUUUUAAAGUAUCAAUUGGAGGGCAAGUCUGGUGCCAGCAGCCGCGGUAAUUCCAGCUCCAAUAGCGUAUAUUAAAAUUGUUGCAGUUAAAAAGCUCGUAGUUGAAUUUUUGCUAGAAAUAACCGGUCUGCUUUUAUUUAUAAGAGUGGUAUCUUGGUGUGUUUUUAGCAAUAAUAUCCUUUGGAAUGUUUUUUACUUUAUUGUAAAAAGCAAUUUUGAGGAUUUUUACUUUGAGAAAAUUAGAGUGUUUCAAGCAGGCUAACGUUUUGAAUACUGCAGCAUGGAAUAAUAAAAUAGGAUUUUAGUUCUACGUUAUUGGUUUUAAGAACUAAAUUAAUGAUUGAUAGGAGCAGUUGGGGGCAUUUGUAUUU